Molecule: ribosomal RNA, 662 nt
Filed under: Shigella boydii
Lineage: Bacteria; Pseudomonadati; Pseudomonadota; Gammaproteobacteria; Enterobacterales; Enterobacteriaceae
Description: partial 23S ribosomal RNA
Rfam family: Bacterial large subunit ribosomal RNA
Source: RNAcentral
CUCCUAAAGAGUAACGGAGGAGCACGAAGGUUGGCUAAUCCUGGUCGGACAUCAGGAGGUUAGUGCAAUGGCAUAAGCCAGCUUGACUGCGAGCGUGACGGCGCGAGCAGGUGCGAAAGCAGGUCAUAGUGAUCCGGUGGUUCUGAAUGGAAGGGCCAUCGCUCAACGGAUAAAAGGUACUCCGGGGAUAACAGGCUGAUACCGCCCAAGAGUUCAUAUCGACGGCGGUGUUUGGCACCUCGAUGUCGGCUCAUCACAUCCUGGGGCUGAAGUAGGUCCCAAGGGUAUGGCUGUUCGCCAUUUAAAGUGGUACGCGAGCUGGGUUUAGAACGUCGUGAGACAGUUCGGUCCCUAUCUGCCGUGGGCGCUGGAGAACUGAGGGGGGCUGCUCCUAGUACGAGAGGACCGGAGUGGACGCAUCACUGGUGUUCGGGUUGUCAUGCCAAUGGCACUGCCCGGUAGCUAAAUGCGGAAGAGAUAAGUGCUGAAAGCAUCUAAGCACGAAACUUGCCCCGAGAUGAGUUCUCCCUGACUCCUUGAGAGUCCUGAAGGAACGUUGAAGACGACGACGUUGAUAGGCCGGGUGUGUAAGCGCAGCGAUGCGUUGAGCUAACCGGUACUAAUGAACCGUGAGGCUUAACCUUACAACGCCGAAGGUGUUU